CGCUACGCCUGUCACACUGUGGCAGACAGCGGAGCUGGCAGCAUGAGGCGCGGCUCUUCUAGUCCACCCAUGCCGCCAGCGGGAGGAGAGGGGGAGUUGGAAGGGUCGGACGUAAAGAGCAAGUGAUGGCCCCGGGAGCAGAGAGCUUCUUACUACUGACUGCAGUACUGCGAGGAGCCACUAGAUGCCCCCAUCUCCAUAGAGCCAUCUCACCUGCCUGAAGGAACGAGAGAUAGACAGCCCGAGACCCUGUGUGUAGUAGCAUAUGUUAGCAUCACUGCUGCCUCAGCUAACAGUGUCCACAUCAGGAACUUCUUCACAUCAGGAACUGUCCACACAGCAGGAACUUCAACUGAAUGGGCUGACUUCAUGUGCUGGCUGAAGGGCAAGAUGUCUGCGCGGUGGAGAUCUGUUAGGGAAACAGGUGGAGGGCGACUCCCUGAGAGUCUACAAUACACGGCCUUGGAGUAGCUCGCCUUGGGUGGUGUGGCCGAUGAGGAGGUGGCAGGCGUGUUCGAGAUGGACACAGACAUGCCUGCCCUUGAUUCUCUGCAAGUCUUGCCAGCACAGGAGGUGCAGCUCACCGAGGCUGGGGAGGGUGUUUCAGACAACAUCUCAGGUGUGGGCUCAGGAAGACCACCACCUUGGGAACACACCGAGGCACUCCCCCAAUCCACUCUCCAGGAGUUUCUGUUGCAAAUAGAACACCAAGGGCAAACUAAUGCUGAGUUUCAGCAACAGAUGCUCCUUGAGGUCUGUGAGCUCACCUCCACUAUGCAUCAAGGCAUGCGUGAGAUAACCUUCCUUCUUAGCCCCAUUGCAGGCCAUUGCAGCCCUUAGUGGUGAGACUCUCACUGCCCCAAUCCCUACCCAGGAACAAGAUCUCACUGGACAGGGCCCUCGCAGAUCCAUACACAGAUCCCAUUCACCAGAACCACCCCUUAAGCCGGCAAAUAAAAGGGGCAGACGGUGAUUCUCUCCAGAUGCGCUCCUUGGUUCCUGCCAACAUAUUCUUUGGGACAUACUGAAUUCUCUCAGUGGCUUGCGGGACAAGAAUGUCCAACUCCAUCCUGCCAUGGGUUGAUGUUUUUUUUCUCUUUACCUGGCUGCAAUUCAGUAGAAUGUAAACUUUAGUCAGCUUCCUCUUCUGUUUGUGGGCCUGAUUGUUGUGUCUGGGUACUGGGACCAGUUUCUUCUUCUGUUUGGCUCACAUAUUCCUCAGCCAGGGUACUGACCAGCUUUUUGGUCUGUUUGUUGCAGAGAUGGAGAUAACUGACAACUGGGUACUGUAAGCCUCUUUUCUGCACAGCCAGGUGUUUGUUUUGUUUUGUAUUUAUUAAUAAAAU
Long non-coding RNA from Pseudophryne corroboree (corroboree frog), 1346 nucleotides. RefSeq lists it as uncharacterized. The record is from RefSeq and is a predicted model, not a curated record. The transcript is spliced from 3 exons. Lineage: Eukaryota; Metazoa; Chordata; Amphibia; Anura; Myobatrachidae.